This 377-nucleotide ribosomal RNA is filed under the name uncultured organism. RNAcentral describes it as "partial 16S ribosomal RNA". It matches the Rfam family "Bacterial small subunit ribosomal RNA", at positions 527 to 897 of the family's 1533-position model. The record is from RNAcentral.
GUAGGUGGCAAGCGUUGUCCGGGAAUUAUUGGGGCGUAAAGCGCGCGCAGGCGGUUCGUUUAAGUCUGAUGUGAAAGCCCACGGGCUCAACCGUGGAGGGUCAUUGGAAACUGGAGAACUUGAGUACAGAAGAGGAAAGCGGAAUUCCACGUGUAGCGGUGAAAUGCGUAGAGAUGUGGAGGAACACCAGUGGCGAAGGCGGCUUUCUGGUCUGUAACUGACGCUGAGGCGCGAAAGCGUGGGGAGCAAACAGGAUUAGAUACCCUGGUAGUCCACGCCGUAAACGAUGAGUGCUAAGUGUUAGGGGGUUUCCGCCCCUUAGUGCUGCAGCUAACGCAUUAAGCACUCCGCCUGGGGAGUACGGCCGCAAAGGCUGA